CAGAUGCUAAUACCGCAUAAAACCUAACACCGCAUGGUGUAAGGGUUGAAAGAUGGUUUCGGCUAUCACUUUAGGGAUAGGACCCGCGGUGCAUUAGUUAGUUGGUGAGGUAAAGGCUCACCAAGACCGUGAUGCAUAGCCGACCUGAGAGGGUAAUCGGCCACACUGGGACUUGAGACACGGCCCAGACUCCUACGGAGGCAGCAGUAGGGAAUCUUCCACAAUGGACGAAAGUCUGAUGGAGCAACGCCGCGUGAGUGAAGAAGGUUUCGGAUCGUAAACUCUGUUGUUGGAGAAGAAUGUAUCUGAUAGUAACUGAUCAGGUAGUGACGGUAUCCAACCAGAAAGCCACGGCUAACUACGUG
This 365-nucleotide ribosomal RNA is filed under the name uncultured bacterium. RNAcentral's name for it is "bacterial SSU rRNA". It matches the Rfam family "Bacterial small subunit ribosomal RNA", at positions 157 to 507 of the family's 1533-position model. The record is from RNAcentral.